Molecule: long non-coding RNA, 2278 nt
Organism: Catharus ustulatus (Swainson's thrush)
Lineage: Eukaryota; Metazoa; Chordata; Aves; Passeriformes; Turdidae
Exons: 2
Source: RefSeq, a predicted model, not a curated record
UGCACAGGAAUGGGGUUGCUGCUUCAUACAGAAAAAAAAAAAAGACAUUGCAGUGGAGGGAAACAAAUCAAAUAAAUAAAAAGCAAACUAAGAAAAGAACCAAACCAACAACAACUAAAAAAGAAGGUUCCUUCCCUCCGUGGUUGGAGCGUCGCAGAGGGUGAUCCGAGCAGCGGCUCAAUCUCCGGGAGCCAGCAGUGCUGUGCCUAAACUGGUAAAUUUUAGCUGAAGGAGAAACCCACGUGGAAAGGGUGCCGAGAGGAGGAGCUGCGGUCCAAGGGCAGCUGAAAGCCCCGUUCCCAUCCCUCGGCGGGACCAUCUCCCACCUGGACCCCGGGACACCCCCACCCCGACCGGGCUGCGGGACCACCCCCCGGCAAAAAGCGGCUCCUGCCAAAAAUCUCCUGGGAGGGGCUGGGAGAUACAUCUGCUGGAAGAUACUAGGAGGGAAGGAAAAACUGCUGGUACAGAUGAGCCGCAAAGCUCUGCGUAUUUGUUUCCAAUCAGCAUCAACACCGCGCCCCACCCUCCUUUUAAUUUUAGGGGUUAAAAUCGAAGUGUAUUUCCUCAGCAGGUACCUAAAGGAAGAACCCUGAUGUUUGCUCUGUUUGCAUUUGUGGGCUUUUAUGCAUUUGUUCCUCCCAAGUAGCUAUUAUCGCUGUUAAUGAUUGUAAAUACGUAAAAAAAAACGUUAAAAAAGUGAAUUCGUGGCUAGCAGAGAGCGCUCCUCACUCUCCUGCCAAUUAGAUUAAGGAUGUCGAUUUGAGUUAGGGAGCAUCCUUCAAUUUUAAGGGAGAGGUGCUUGAAGUCAAGAAUGCCUUUUAUGUUUUGCUGUUUGUUUGCUUGUUUUUCUCUUUUAUCGAAGGCUUUUUCCUUUUAGUAUUUAAGCCAUGUUGGAAGAAGACAUUUCUCCUCCGUGCUCCUUUAGGCUGUCCCUCCCUCGGAUGCUCCAGACGGGAGGGAAACAGGCGUAAUUUGGGAGGUUUUGUUGUUUUUAAAAAACGUUUGUCGUGCUGUAACCAUUAUUCUGAGGAUCCUACGAGGUUUUCAUUCACCGGCUUUCAGGACUCCUUUCUUCAUGUUGCAGCCGGCCCAACUGGAGACUCCGGAGAAAAAAAGAAAAACAAUUAAAAAUAAUAAGAAUAAAAAUAUAAAGCAACCUUCCUCCUUUCCUCCCCGCCACCCCAAAACUAAGCUGCACUCCAAGCCAGGCUUCGCUUCGGGAGUCAAAUUACCCCUCUUUCCACCGGGACGCGUGAGAGUCAUUUUAUCUGCCUGAACUUUAGGACAAAGCUGUUUUCCAGAGGAAAUUUCCACUCCUGCUGCCGCCUUACACCAGAGGGCGCCAGGAGCCUUGCCAGGCUUUGCUGCCUGAAGUGGUGCUGGAAAUUAACUCUUUGGGCGCUCUCCCUGAAUGUUGUUUUAACCUUUCAAUUUUAAAAUAUACAACUGGAUUCUAGCUCUCUUUUUUUUUCUUUUUCUUUUUUCUUUUUUUUUUUUUUUUUUUCACUCGUAUAAAAUGCGUGUUGGUUUGUUCUGGUUUGGGUUUGUAAGAUUUUUUCCCCCCCGUCCUUGUAGUACCCUUUCCCAGCUCUGCAGGGCUUCACCCUCCAGCAGCAGUCCCCUGGGACUCUCAGGAGAUGUACAGCUUUGCUCUGUCUCUGCUAAUUCGAUUCUAAUUAAAUCACUGGUCACGUUUGCAUGACGUUACCAUGUUGUCCCUCAUAAACUUAGGGGCUGAAACUUGUCUGGCUGUGUUUAAGCUUAAAGAGUCACUUAGGGCUCUUCAAGCAGAACAGCUAAAGCAUGGCACCAGAGGGGAAACAGUGUGGUGAGGGCCUGGCACAGGUUGCCCAGAGAAGCUGUGGCUGCCCCAUCCCUGGAAAUGUUCAAAGCCAAGUGGGACAGGACUUGGAGCAACCUGGGCUAUUGAAGGGUGUCCUGGCCCACAUAUGCAUGGGGUAAGGUCUCCAACAGAGCUUAUAAUUCUAAAUAAAUUACCAAAAAGGAAGAGAAAUAGUAAAAAAGAGAAGAAGAAAGAAUAAACUAUUAGGAUAGGUCAUUUCCAUGUUUCCUGUAAAUAUUUAUCAAGAAGCUAGAUAUGAUUUUGCUAUUCACAUCUGAGGAUCAACAGAAAUGCAAAUAAUUAUUUUAAAAAUCUGAGCAUAAAACAUAAAACCCAACAAAUAAAAACAUUGUAAUUCUGGAGGCUGGUGGGAAAACCGUGAAAGAGAAAUGUCGUUGUGCUAUUUAAAUUAAAAGAUGGCUUAAAAAAAUA